GCACGCGCGCUACGUCCCUCAGACUGGCUGCCCCCGAGGGUUCGCGUGAGCGGAGCACGGGGCUCGGGGUGCGGGGGGCUGGUGUGAUGGACGCAUUUGUUCUUCGGUCCCUGACGAUUGUUUCUCAUUUGCCCUCCAAGCCCCAAAUCCUGUCAGUCCACGGCCUUGAUGGAGCGGCCCCCGUGGGACGACCCUGUUGAUUGUGCUAGCGGAUGUUGUCUCCAUUCUGGAUCUGGGAAAAACUGUGGAGUGAAAGCCGGACCUGUUAGGGUUGGGACCUGAAAGCGGACUUUUUCGCUCUCAGACGGGCCCCAGGAAUUUCAUGUUUAACAGAGGUGUCUUCAAGGAGAUGAAACAAUUCAGAAUGACCUAGGCAAUGGGGUAAUUCCUAAGUAUUGUAGGUCAAGAUAUUGGUUACCUAUGAGGGGGUGAUGCCUGGAGGAAGACCUAAGGGGAGGUCUUCUGGAUACUGAGUGCAUGGACCCCACCACCGUGCCCUGAGGAAGCCCAAACAACCCAUGGAGACAUCCGCAUGGAGAGACCUGUGCCCUCAGUCCUGGUUGAACUCCCAGCUGACAGUCAAUGUCAACUUGCCAGCCAUAUGAGUGAACCAUACUGAAGUUCAUCAUCCAUCCCUGAGUAAAGCUACGUGAGCUGACACCAUGUGGAGAAGAAACAAGCAUUCUUACUGAGCCCCGCCCAAAUUGCCGAUUCAUGAACUAAAAAAAAAGAUUGCUGUUCAUUUAAGCCACUAAAUUUUAGGAAUGUUUAGUAAGCAGCAAUCUAUAACUAGAACAAUGGUCAAUAAAUGAAAAUUUUACUUUAAGAAGGCAUACUAUAGCCACAUAACUUUGGGAAACUCUCUUGGUUAAAGUUUUAAAAAUUUCCCUUACUGCAGAGCUUUUAAUGGGCUAAUGUGUUUCAUGUUCCCUCACAAGAGUAUCCAGUGUUUCUCAAACAUUUUUAACCACAGAAUCUGUAUUGUAAAGUGCCAUCUUGCGAGAUUGGGGUUAACGGCCAGACUUUAAGAAAACCAAAUGAACUUUUCAGUAAUUCAAUAAUUGAAAUUCUAAUUCUUAAAAUUGCAAAGAGUUUACAUUAGGAUAGUUUUAAUUUGAAAAGUCAUAUGUUAUA
Molecule: long non-coding RNA, 1134 nt
Filed under: Homo sapiens (human)
Lineage: Eukaryota; Metazoa; Chordata; Mammalia; Primates; Hominidae
Description: HSALNT0359790
Source: RNAcentral